This 330-nucleotide unclassified non-coding RNA is filed under the name Amphibalanus amphitrite. RNAcentral describes it as "3-oxoacyl-[acyl-carrier-protein] reductase FabG-like, transcript variant X9". The record is from RNAcentral. Lineage: Eukaryota; Metazoa; Arthropoda; Thecostraca; Balanomorpha; Balanidae.
GAACUUGUUUCGCCAUCCCUCAUCACCGUCCCCGUUUCACGUGCCACAUCAAUAGGCUACCCACUCCCAAUAUUAUACACUGGUUGGGUACUGGCAAGUGCCUAAAUAUGGCCUUGGGCAAGUGGUUUGAAGCUGCCUCGCUCUAAAACAUAGGGUGCCCGGGUUGAUUCAAGCUGGAUGGUUGACAACCACGAGAAAGCCAAGACUUUUAAUACAUACGGAUGACACCUCUCAUAUUCAGAAACUCUAUCUCAAGAAAUCAGUUUUUUAGCACCUCAGAACUGCAGAGUAGAAGACUGCAGUUUUAAUGUACCGAUUCUUAUUUCUCUA